Long non-coding RNA from Sander lucioperca (pikeperch), 1121 nucleotides. RefSeq lists it as uncharacterized. The transcript has 2 exons. The record is from RefSeq and is a predicted model, not a curated record. NCBI's taxonomy places the organism in Eukaryota, Metazoa, Chordata, Actinopteri, Perciformes, Percidae.
AAGUAACUUAUAACUAAGUGUUUUGACUAUUCCAGUCAUGCAAGCAACAUCUUUUGGAUGGAUUGUCAUUAAAUAUGGUGCAAACAUUCGUGUUCUCCAAGGAAUGAACUGUAAUAACUCAGUGUGUCCAAUGUUUUGUGCUAACGAGCAAAUUUCAGCAUACUAACACACUAAAAAUGAGAUUGUGAACAUUAUACCUAUACAUGAUAACUUUAGUGUAAGCAUGUUACCAUGCUGAUAUUAGCAUUCAGCUCAAAGCAACACUGUGCAGCCUCACAGAGCUGCUAGCAUGGCUGUAGAUUCAAAAUAUUUUGAAAUCAGAGUACAAGCAGGGCUUCUUGUCAGUGUUAGACAGUUUUCAUCUUUCUAUUUGCAAAUUAAAAAACAUGUUGUAGAAAACAGGAUAUUCCAAUAGAAAAAAAAGCUUUGGAAAAGCAAGGAAAUGGAAAUAAAGCUACUUGACAACAAACUUGUAGUUGUGCGGAUUAAUCCAUACAGUGGUUCCUAUAUGUUCCCUGCUGUACUUUAUUGUGUCCAGUAUGACGAUGAUUUGUCCAUGAGCUCAAAAGCAGCACACAAAGUUAUUGCGUACAGUAUUAUUCUAUCAAAACACAAUAUCCGACUGCGUCCUUUUUCAAUUUCCUUCUCACUACGCCCCUCGACCGCAGCUCACACAUCCAUCUUCCAGGACCUCAUUUCAUCACGCAAACACUUCCUCCGCUGGACUUUAUCCUGAGAGAUAAUCAUUAUGUGAGGACAUUUUGCUGCACUGGACAAGCAAAGGCCCUAUCUGAACAUUUCCUGAUUAGAUGUGCAUUACCUCAUUCAUCCACAGUGAACUCUGUGUGAAACUGAAGCCCCUUUUCCUGUCUCGCCUCAAUUGAUAUUGCUUUCCUGAUUUAAACUGAGAGAGUAUUUGCUGCAAUUUUUAUUGCAUUUUUGUUGUCCUUUUUCUUUUAUCUGGGCUUGUGAGCAAGGCCGAAGGCAAAAGUCUUUUAUACUGCAAACACAUAGCAAGCCCAAACUCUGAAAGGCUUUAUCUGAGGAAAAACAAAACAAAGCUUUAUCUUCCAGAAGUGCACAGUGGGGAGAUUCUGCUUUGUGUUAGUGGCCCACUGUCA